This 497-nucleotide ribosomal RNA is filed under the name Shivaphis celti (Asian woolly hackberry aphid). RNAcentral describes it as "partial 28S ribosomal RNA". It matches the Rfam family "Eukaryotic large subunit ribosomal RNA", at positions 689 to 1205 of the family's 3401-position model. The record is from RNAcentral. Lineage: Eukaryota; Metazoa; Arthropoda; Insecta; Hemiptera; Aphididae.
AGUCAACGGUACGAAAAAGGCGCAAUGAAAGUGAACGCGGACGAUGGCCUAGCGCGCUGGUCCGCAGUCCGGGGGCGUCUCCGGGGGCGCACCCUUAGCGCACACGUUGGUACCCGAAAGAUGGUGAACUAUGCCUGGCCAGGAUGAAGUCAGGGGAAACCCUGAUGGAGGUCCGCAGCGAUUCUGACGUGCAAAUCGAUCGUCUGAGCUGGGUAUAGGGGCGAAAGACUAAUCGAACCAUCUAGUAGCUGGUUCCAUCCGAAGUUUCCCUCAGGAUAGCUGGCGCCCGCGGGAGGAUGUCUCAUACGGUAAAGCGAAUGAUUAGAGGAUUGGGGCCGAAACGACCUCAACCUAUUCUCAAACUAUAAAUGGGUGAGAUCGCCGGCUUGCGUGAAAGCCGGGAACCCUAGGCGCUUAGUGGGCCAUUUUUGGUAAGCAGAACUGGCGCUGCGGGAUGAACCGAACGCCGAGUUAAGGCGCCGAAAUCGACAGAGACC